GCGACUGUGGUAUAGCGGUAUUACCUCAGCCUUCCAAGCUGAAGAUGCGGGUCCGACUCCCGUCGGUCGCU
This 71-nucleotide transfer RNA is filed under the name Spirochaetales bacterium. RNAcentral's name for it is "tRNA-Gly". It matches the Rfam family "tRNA". From Rfam's summary of the family: Transfer RNA (tRNA) molecules are approximately 80 nucleotides in length. Their secondary structure includes four short double-helical elements and three loops (D, anti-codon, and T loops). The record is from RNAcentral. RNAcentral also lists the same sequence under 1 other name. Lineage: Bacteria; Pseudomonadati; Spirochaetota; Spirochaetia; Spirochaetales.